AGAUGCAGGUGUGGAUUUCUGAAUGGGAGCUGAAGACUUACUGGUAGCAUGAUCUGUUGAAUCAUGAAGUACAUGAUAAGUAGGCUACUCUGACUUCUACUCUGGCUGGAAUUCGCAUUGAUUGUUUUGUUUUUGCUCUCUGAUAUUUCACACAGGCAUAGCCAAAUAAACAGUCAAAUGAUGUUAGAGAAAAAAUGUUUAGUUAAUGUGUUGCCUUUAACAGAAUAAUAUUUAAUUUUUUACUCGGCUACAUUUUAGAAAUCAUAUCGUUCCUCAUUAUUUCGAAAUGAAGAAAUCGCAACGCUCCGAAAUCGAGACGUCCGAUUCAUGCGAUCGAAUGAAUGAAUCAUUUUCGCCGAACCUGCUGAAAUGGUUCACAAUUUGCAGUUAACAAUUCAUUGGCGCAGUCGACAACUGAAUGAAGGAUUUGACUGAUGGCGCGAAAAUGAUAAAUGACAACAUCCAUCAUGUAAGAGCCAAGAGGAACGUCAUCAGUUCUGAUGGUUAAUGACGAGGAAGGUCCGUCGCACACCUGCCAGUAUUUACCUGUCAGACACAAUAGAGGAUUGUCAGGAACGUUAGAUGACUGCAUAUAACAGUACACUUGUCCAUCUGGCAGGACCUUCUGGUUGUGAGGGAACACAAUGUCAAUGGUGAAGGUGAUUUUGGCACCAGUCAAAGUGGGUGCAUCAUUUCCCACAUCAAACUUCAGUUGCCC
Onychostoma macrolepis is the source of this 718-nucleotide long non-coding RNA. RefSeq lists it as uncharacterized. The record is from RefSeq and is a predicted model, not a curated record. Lineage: Eukaryota; Metazoa; Chordata; Actinopteri; Cypriniformes; Cyprinidae. The transcript has 3 exons.